UGUUGUUGCUGCUGCUGCUGUUGUUGUUGUGCCUGUGGCUGCUGCUGCUGCUUGCAAUCCGACCGUAAUAACGACAGCAAUGCAACCAUUCCUGCAACAGGUCCCGACGCCAAGCGAGACGCGAGAUCGUGUCUUCCCGUUUUCGAUGCACGAAUAAUAAUAAAGUUAUAAUGGCGGCAAGAGAGAUCAGUGAGAUUAAACCCGUAACCAACCCAACACAUAACGUAUCAGCCAAUAGCCCCGAGAAAUAAGUGCGCCCAGUGGUUUAAAAUUUUGCCGUGUUUACGUGAAUAGGCGUGAGUUGUUUGUAAAAAAAAAAAUAAAGAGGUUGCGAAGAGAGAUCGAGAGACUCCGAGAGAGAAAUAUUGCCGGUAGUUGUAGUAAUAAUAAUUUAGAAAAGCUUAGGUGUAUGGUUGGUUAAUUUUAUGAUUAUCAAUGAUUACCAUGAUAAACGUAUCGUCUCUCCAUCCUCUUCGACCCUCGUUUCUCUUAUCGAUGAAAAGAUGCCAAUUUCCAACCCUCCACAAUAAGA
Apis mellifera (honey bee) is the source of this 532-nucleotide long non-coding RNA. RefSeq lists it as uncharacterized. The transcript is spliced from 2 exons. The record is from RefSeq and is a predicted model, not a curated record. Lineage: Eukaryota; Metazoa; Arthropoda; Insecta; Hymenoptera; Apidae.